Molecule: long non-coding RNA, 861 nt
Filed under: Macaca nemestrina (pig-tailed macaque)
Lineage: Eukaryota; Metazoa; Chordata; Mammalia; Primates; Cercopithecidae
Description: lncRNA (ENSMNEG00000045784.1)
Source: RNAcentral
ACCGCGCGUUGGGAUUCGUAGUGUUGUUGAAGACCGGAGGAGUGUCUGCAGUCAGCGACUCUCCACCAACUUCAACUACUGGAUCAACCAUGGUGGGAGACCCAGCCUGGCAAGCAUGCGUCCUGGGCUGUCUGUGGACCUGGAACCUGCUGUCAUAGGAUGGGGUAAGAACUGACAUUUAUAGGCAGCUCUUCUACCCUGGGCAGCUGGUAUCUGGCGUGGAAGAUGCUGCCAACAACUAUGCCUGUGGCCACUACACUGCGGGGAAGGAGACCAUCGAUUUGGUGCUGGAGCAAAUCGGAAAACUGGCGAGCAGGCCUCCGGCACCUACAGGAGGUUGGCAUCAACUACCAGUCCCCCACAGUGGUGCCCGGGGGUGCCGUAGCCAAGGUGCAGUGGGCAGUCUGCAUGCUAAACAAUACCACAGCCAUCACCAAGGCCUGGACCCGCCUCAACCCAAAGUUUGACCUGAUGUAUGCCAAGCAGGCAUUUAUGCACUGGAAGUAAUCAGAGAGCUUUGUGGCAAAGCUCAUGAGGAAGGCGUGAUCUACGUUCUGCUUGGAGUAGAAUUCGCCACAAAAGGCUUCAUCUCUGACGCUGUCAACAGUGGGGUAGGCAUCGGAUGGAGCAUGGAUCAUUAGCAACUGCCCUUUCAAGAUCUGCGGGCUGAAGAGGCUUGAAAUAUGGGCAACAGUUUCUCUGAGCCAGGUGAGGUCAGAAUCUGCCAGGUGGACCAGCACCGUGAGGUGUUUCUGCUCAGCCUUAGAGGAAACACGGAACAGAGAGACCAAUGUGUACAAGAGGCUGCUUCUGUCCCCUUGCUGCACUGACGAUAUCCCCACUGUCAGCCAUGCUGAGGAG